RNAcentral lists this unclassified non-coding RNA (1380 nucleotides) under Daphnia pulicaria. RNAcentral describes it as "uncharacterized LOC124314286, transcript variant X1". The record is from RNAcentral. Lineage: Eukaryota; Metazoa; Arthropoda; Branchiopoda; Diplostraca; Daphniidae.
UCCACAAGCGAAAUGGUGGAAACUAUUGGUGGAAAGAUUCAUGCCUUCAUUGAAAGUGUCAAGUAUGGCUGUGUCGUGUUAUCGUGUAUGUUCGUGAAUCGUGAUAACGGUGAAUCGUGAUAACGGUAUAACUAACUGAUAACUAAAUUUACAUGAGUUAACAUAGUUAUGCUUUCCAACUGUAGCACUUGACUUGAUCAAGCAGUUAACUGUCGAGUUUGCCUUGGAGGAUGUGACGUCUUUUGCUUCUGCCAGUCAUAUUACUUCUAAUCAUUUCAAGCAACAUGUUAUACCCAUCAUACCUCCACAUGAAAGGACUGCUCUUACAUCCCACGAAAGACUGGCUUCUGCCAGUCAUAUUACUUCUAAUCAUUUCAAGCAACAUGUUAUACCCAUCAUACUCCACAUGAAAGGACUGCUCUUACAUCCCACGAAAGACUCCCCAGUUGGAGUGAACAAAACUCGAUCUAGGAAAUGAUAUCCAAUCAAUGAGGACAUCUCAAAGGAACAGAGAUUCAGGAUUAUAUUCAGUAUUAUAUCAUGCUCGCGAUCAGUAUGCUGUCGACCUUGAAGUUACUUAUAACAGCUUGGGAGUCGGUGGAACAAAAAUAAGAACGACAGCUACGUAGCCCCACGUGAGGUUAUGCCUGUCAAGUAAUCAAUGUCAUUUAAGCUCGACUCUAUCUUGGCCUUUUUCUUUUGACUUACGGUCGACAAUCAAAAAGGCGUGCCUUGUUUUUCGGAAAAAAUAGUAUGGACAGCGUGCCCUGGUCAGUUAAUUGAGCCUGGCGUCAUCCAACACUCGAGGGCAGCAGAAGGACGAUCCACAGCUCCCCGGCCGAAUUGCACUGGAGCGAGUCGACGAAGUAGCCAGCAUCCUUCUGAACUCAAUUCAAAGUCUUUUCGAUGUCCAACUUUGCUAAUGGCGGGUCCGCGAUUGCUGUCGCUUCAUGAUUAGAAUCAAACUUGUGGUUUCAAGGCGACCGAAAAGAAAUAACACUGGGCGGUGUUAAGCGAUAGAUGUUUUUUUUUUCGUAACAACUUCUGGAGGCCUAUUGCAUUCUUCAAAGCCUUCUUAUGAUUUCUGUCAAAUCAAGAAGGGGGACCAUCGGCAUUCAGCUUUCUACGUUGGAAAUAUGUUCCGCCAGUUUUCUGUUUCUUCCGGCUCUCUACUACGGAUGUUUUUAUUCGAUGCUGGCGGUCAAUUCUUUCAACCCGGAACUUUCGUCGUUUAAUAACUCAACAUUGUCGUGGCGCAUUCACCCCGGGCAAGUUUGGAUGGCCAUUUUCUCGUCAAUGAUGCGUUUUAGAACAUACAAAUCGUGUUGAUAUUUUGCGAUGCUGUGUAGAUGAGUCAAAUGAAUACAUGUGUAUUUACGA